UAUGAUCGUACCUAGAACCGACACAGGUGUCCCUAGGCGAGAAACCUAAGGCGUGUCGGGUAUACACUAAUGCGAGGGAACUCGGCAAAUUAGCCCCGUACCUUUGGUAUAAGGGGUGCCUGUUCUUCUAACCUUGUGUUAGGAGAGCAGGUCGCAGUGACAAAGGGGUCUCGACUGUUUAAUAAAAACACAGGAAGCCGCAAGAGCGAAAGCUUGUGAACGGCUUCUGAAUCCUGGCCAGUACAGGUACCUGAAACCUGGGUCCAACUGGGCUAAGGGCCUGCAAACGCCGGGAGUAACUCUGACUCUCUCAAGGUAGCCAAAUGCCUUGUCGGGUAAGUUCCGACGUGCAUGAAUGGAUCAACGAGGGCCCCACUGUCCCCGCGUAGUACCCGGUGAAACCACAUAACGUGGACGAACAGUCCACGAUCUCCCAGCGGGAAAAGAAGUCCCUGUGGAGUUUUACUGCAGCCUGCCGCUGGAAUACGGCUAUGGAUACAGAGCGUAGUCGGGAGCCAUCGAUCUUACGUUCUCCGGGACGUAGGGGAGGCAACAAUGGAACACCGACUUUCUGUAACCGUGUUUCUUACCGGCUCCUAGAGGGCCGGAACAACGGUAGGUGGGCAGUUCGGCUGGGGCGGCACGCCCUUGAAAAGAUAUCAAGGGCGCCCUAAGGUUGGCUCAGGGGGGACAGAAACCCUCCGUAGAGUGCAAGGGCAAAAGCCAGCCUGACUGUAUCCCAAACAGUAAGGGAUGCAGAGGAGAAAUCCGGGCUUAGCGAUCAUCCAUGCUCCCCAUUGGUGGGGGCUGGAUGUGUCAGAAAAAUUACCCUAGGGAUAACAGGCUCGUCGCGGGCGAGAGUCCCCAUCGACCCCGCGGCUUGGUACCUCGAUGUCGGCUCUUCCUAUCCUGGCCCUGCAUAAGGGGCCAAGGGUGAGGCUGCUCGCCUAUUAAAAGGGAACGUGAGCUGGGUUUAGACCGUCGUGAGACAGGUCGGACUUUAUCUGCUGGGAGUGUUGGCUGCUUGAGGGGAAAGGGUCCCUAGUACGAGAGGAACUGGACGCUGCGGCCCCUAGUUAACCGGUUGUCUGAUAAGGCAGUCGCCGGGCAGCCACGCCGUUGUGGAUAAGAGCUGAAAGCAUCUAAGCUCGAAGCCUCUCCCGAAAAGAGGCAGCCAUUCCAGUUUCACUGGACGAAGGCUCCCAUAAAAGAUGGGUUUGAUGGAGCCGGGGUGUAAAUCAGAAGACUUCGGUCGACUGGUUCAGCCUGCGGCCACCAAUAGCCUGAGAUGUCGAGUCA
This 1299-nucleotide ribosomal RNA is filed under the name Nitrososphaerota archaeon. RNAcentral's name for it is "partial 23S ribosomal RNA". It matches the Rfam family "Archaeal large subunit ribosomal RNA", at positions 1731 to 2987 of the family's 2987-position model. The record is from RNAcentral. Lineage: Archaea; Thermoproteati; Nitrososphaerota.